This 323-nucleotide RNase P RNA is filed under the name Candidatus Woesearchaeota archaeon. RNAcentral describes it as "RNase P RNA component". It matches the Rfam family "Archaeal RNase P". Rfam says of the family: Ribonuclease P (RNase P) is a ubiquitous endoribonuclease, found in archaea, bacteria and eukarya as well as chloroplasts and mitochondria. Its best characterised activity is the generation of mature 5'-ends of tRNAs by cleaving the 5'-leader elements of precursor-tRNAs. Lineage: Archaea; Nanobdellati; Candidatus Woesearchaeota. The record is from RNAcentral.
AAAAGUAAGAUUUAAAAAGAUUCCCGAAGGAGAAGAUCUUUUAAAGAUUUAUCCCGGAAGUGUCACUCCUUGUAGUGAGGAGGUGAAGAGAUUCACGGCAACGCAACAGAAACGACACGACCUUUGGAUUAUGGAAUGAUAUGGCGAAGUGUGAUCGUGAGACACAUGAGUUAACCUGUUGACGUCUCCAAAGGAAACGAUGAAACGGGCGACCUGACUGGUGCAAGUCAAAGACGCUAAGUAGAAUGUCAGGAUAGAGUAUCGAUAAGAUCAUUAAUGAUUUUAUUUUGACUCUAACAGAAGGCAGCUUAUUUCCUACCUUU